GUCCCUAUAGCGCAGCGGAUAGCGCGUUGGAUUUCUAAUCCAAAGGUACCGGGUUCAUUCCCCGGCAGGGAUG
This 73-nucleotide transfer RNA is filed under the name Limulus polyphemus (Atlantic horseshoe crab). RNAcentral's name for it is "tRNA-Arg". It matches the Rfam family "tRNA". From Rfam's summary of the family: Transfer RNA (tRNA) molecules are approximately 80 nucleotides in length. Their secondary structure includes four short double-helical elements and three loops (D, anti-codon, and T loops). The record is from RNAcentral. Lineage: Eukaryota; Metazoa; Arthropoda; Merostomata; Xiphosura; Limulidae.